This 208-nucleotide unclassified non-coding RNA is filed under the name Hevea brasiliensis (rubber tree). Lineage: Eukaryota; Viridiplantae; Streptophyta; Magnoliopsida; Malpighiales; Euphorbiaceae. The record is from RNAcentral.
AGCUCAAUUGAUCAGUAUCCUUCAAUUUCCAUCCUUCUGUUUAUCAGCAAGCAGCUUUCUAGUAUUGAUUCUGCACGUAGGUAAAUUGAUCCUUAACUUCUUUCAAUUUCAUCUUCUCUCAGAUGUGUUGAAUUACCCACAUCAGCUGCCUUAUGUGCCAUUUCCUAAUUAAUUAACAUCAAAUCAACAUGAACAUAUUACGUACAUA